GUUAGCCUACGGGGGGCAGCAGUGAGGAAUAUUGGUCAAUGGACGAAAGUCUGAACCAGCCAUGCCGCGUGCAGGAAGACGGCUCUAUGAGUUGUAAACUGCUUUUGUACAAGGGUAAACCUGAAUACGUGUAUUCAGCUGAAAGUACUGUACGCAAAAAAAAAAAAAAAAAAAAAAAAAGAAGCCGCGGUAAUACGGAGGAUCCAAGCGUUAUCCGGAUUUAUUGGGUUUAAAGGGUGCGUAGGCGGAUUGAUAAGUUAGAGGUGAAAUGUCCGGGCUCAACUCGGGAACUGCCUCUAAUACUG
This 305-nucleotide ribosomal RNA is filed under the name uncultured bacterium. RNAcentral describes it as "partial 16S ribosomal RNA". It matches the Rfam family "Bacterial small subunit ribosomal RNA", at positions 333 to 635 of the family's 1533-position model. The record is from RNAcentral.